Molecule: non-coding RNA, 45 nt
Filed under: Schistosoma margrebowiei
Lineage: Eukaryota; Metazoa; Platyhelminthes; Trematoda; Strigeidida; Schistosomatidae
Source: RNAcentral
AUCCGGCUGACGAGCCCCAAAUAGGGCGAAACGCGUGUUCUGGAC